AGUGAACGCUGGCGGUAGGCCUAACACAUGCAAGUCGAACGGCAGCACAGGAGAGCUUGCUCUCUGGGUGGCGAGUGGCGGACGGGUGAGGAAUACAUCGGAAUCUACUCUGUCGUGGGGGAUAACGUAGGGAAACUUACGCUAAUACCGCAUACGACCUACGGGUGAAAGCAGGGGACCUUCGGACCUUGCGCGAUUGAAUGAGCCGAUGUCGGAUUAGCUAGUUGGCGGGGUAAAGGCCUACCAAGGCGACGAUCCGUAGCUGGUCUGAGAGGAUGAUCAGCCACACUGGAACUGAGACACGGUCCAGACUCCUACGGGAGGCAGCAGUGGGGAAUAUUGGACAAUGGGCGCAAGCCUGAUCCAGCCAUACCGCGUGGGUGAAAAAGGCCUUCGGGUUGUAAAGCCCUUUUGUUGGGAAAGAAAUCCAGCUGGCUAAUACCCGGUUGGGAUGACGGUACCCAAAGAAUAAGCACCGGCUAACUUCGUGCCAGCAGCCGCGGUAA
RNAcentral lists this ribosomal RNA (506 nucleotides) under uncultured bacterium. Its description in RNAcentral is "partial 16S ribosomal RNA". It matches the Rfam family "Bacterial small subunit ribosomal RNA", at positions 29 to 523 of the family's 1533-position model. The record is from RNAcentral.